This 422-nucleotide ribosomal RNA is filed under the name uncultured bacterium. RNAcentral's name for it is "partial 16S ribosomal RNA". It matches the Rfam family "Bacterial small subunit ribosomal RNA", at positions 360 to 774 of the family's 1533-position model. The record is from RNAcentral.
AAUAUUGGACAAUGGGGGCAACCCUGAUCCAGCCAUGCCGCGGGUGUGAAGAAGGUCUUCGGAUUUUAAAGCACUUUAAGUUAGGAGGAAGAGCUUUGGGCUAAUACCCUGAAGUUUUGACGUUUCCAACAGAAUAAGCACCGGCUAACUCCGUGCCAGCAGCCGCGGUAAUACAGAGGGUGCAAGCGUUAAUCGGAAUUACUGGGGGUUAAGCGCGCGUAGGUGGUUCAGUAAGAUGGGUGUGAAAUCCCCGGGCUUAACCUGGGAACUGCUUUCAUAACUGCUGAGCCAGAGUACGGUAGAGGGUAGUGGAAUUUCCUGUGUAGCGGUGAAAUGCGUAGAUAUAGGAAGGAACACCAGUGGCGAAGGCGACUACCUGGACUGAUACUGACGCUCAGACACGAAAGCGUGGGGAGCAAACA